This 253-nucleotide ribosomal RNA is filed under the name uncultured bacterium. Its description in RNAcentral is "partial 16S ribosomal RNA". It matches the Rfam family "Bacterial small subunit ribosomal RNA", at positions 524 to 776 of the family's 1533-position model. The record is from RNAcentral.
UACGUAGGGGGCAAGCGUUAUCCGGAUUUACUGGGUGUAAAGGGGGCGCAGACGGCGAUGCAGGCCAGGAGUGAAAGCCCGGGGCUCAACUCCGGGACUGCUUUUGAAACUGUGUUGCUAGAUUGCAGGAGAGGUAAGUGGAAUUCCUAGUGUAGCGGUGAAAUGCGUAGAUAUUAGGAGGAACACCAGUGGCGAAGGCGGCUUACUGGACUGUAAAUGACGCUGAGGCUCGAAAGCGUGGGGAGCAAACAGG